CUUCCAGACUCCUACGGGAGGCAGCAGUGGGGAAUCUUCCGCAAUGGACGAAAGUCUGACGGAGCAACGCCGCGUGAGUGAUGACGGCCUUCGGGUUGUAAAGCUCUGUUAAUCGGGACGAAAGGCCUUCUUGCGAAUAGUGAGAAGGAUUGACGGUACCGGAAUAGAAAGCCACGGCUAACUACGUGCCAGCAGCCGCGGUAAUACGUAGGUGGCAAGCGUUGUCCGGAAUUAUUGGGCGUAAAGCGCGCGCAGGCGGAUAGGUCAGUCUGUCUUAAAAGUUCGGGGCUUAACCCCGUGAUGGGAUGGAAACUGCCAAUCUAGAGUAUCGGAGAGGAAAGUGGAAUUCCUAGUGUAGCGGUGAAAUGCGUAGAUAUUAGGAAGAACACCAGUGGCGAAGGCGACUUUCUGGACGAAAACUGACGCUGAGGCGCGAAAGCCAGGGGAGCGAACGGGAUUAGAUACCCCGGUAGUCCUGGCCGUAAACGAUGGGUACUAGGUGUAGGAGGUAUCGACCCCUUCUGUGCCGGAGUUAACGCAAUAAGUACCCCGCCUGGGGAGUACGACCGCAAGGUUGAAACUCAAAGGAAUUGACGGGGGCCCGCACAAG
This 610-nucleotide ribosomal RNA is filed under the name uncultured bacterium. RNAcentral describes it as "bacterial SSU rRNA". It matches the Rfam family "Bacterial small subunit ribosomal RNA", at positions 328 to 929 of the family's 1533-position model. The record is from RNAcentral.